AUGGAGGGCUUUUCUGCGAGCGGGUUGUGCAAAGUCUUGUUUCACUGGAGUGGAUCAUCCUCUCGCUUACCACAAAACGCACCGCAAAGCACUCUCGUUUUAGGGUUAGUGCAGAGUGCUGAUCGCACAAAGCGUAUAGGAAAAGUUUCCUCUCGUAGAAAAGAGUCUAAGAGCAAGGAGGGCAAGCCGAGUCCACGCCGAGCCCAGUCCUCCACACACACAGAGAGAGAGAGAGGGGGAGGAGGCUUGUUUGCUGCGCUGGGGAAAACGAUUUGGAGAGAGAGAGAGAGAGAGAGAGAGAGAGAGAGAGAGAGAGAGAGGGGAGAGGGAGGGAGGAGGCUUGUUUGCUGCGCACGAUUUGGACAGGCGCGCUGGUCACGGUGCGCGUCUUCUUGCCCCUCGCCUAUUUAA
This 411-nucleotide ribosomal RNA is filed under the name Triticum aestivum (bread wheat). RNAcentral describes it as "partial small subunit ribosomal RNA". Lineage: Eukaryota; Viridiplantae; Streptophyta; Magnoliopsida; Poales; Poaceae. The record is from RNAcentral.